RNAcentral lists this ribosomal RNA (118 nucleotides) under Clostridium carboxidivorans. The record is from RNAcentral. Lineage: Bacteria; Bacillati; Bacillota; Clostridia; Eubacteriales; Clostridiaceae.
UCUGGUGAUAAUGACAUAAAGGUAACACCCGUUCCCAUUCCGAACACGAUGGUUAAGCUUUAUAGUGCCGAUGGUACUGCAGGGGAGGCUCUGUGGAAGAGUAGGUCGUUGCCAGGUU